Athene cunicularia (burrowing owl) is the source of this 1442-nucleotide long non-coding RNA. RefSeq lists it as uncharacterized. The transcript is spliced from 2 exons. The record is from RefSeq and is a predicted model, not a curated record. NCBI's taxonomy places the organism in Eukaryota, Metazoa, Chordata, Aves, Strigiformes, Strigidae.
CUUAGUCCUUAGCCAGAAAAAAAAAAAUUAAAAAAUAAAAAUCAAUCUCCAUUUUCUGCAACAGCUGCACAGCUUGGAAGUUGGAGACAUCAGUUUUCCUACAAUUUUUUUCCUUUAGGGAGAAUAAUCACUUGGAAGCCUCUCUUCAUUUAGUAUCCAAAGAAAUUAUUUAAAAAUAUAAAGCAGAUGCUCCCUGUUGUUUUUUCCUGAACAAACUGAUACCGUAGGCGCAAGAGAUGAGAAUAAGGCAACUGAUACUGAACAGUUCGUCCCCUCUGUCCCCUCCUCCCCAAGUGCCAGCACACAUCUACGUUUAACACACAUGAUGAAGUAUCAGUCGGUUUUACCUUUAGUAAACUGCUUUUAGAUUUGACAUAGAGGCUUGUGAAAGAACUAUAUUUUAUAAACCCACUUCCUAUGGGGAGAAGUAAUAUACAGUCUGGAAAAUUAUUGAAUUGCACCAAACAGCGGUUAAAGCAGCUCCUGCAUUAUGAAGAUGGUUCAGGAUGGUACCUUUUCAAAAUGGCCUUUGCACAGUACUUUUCUAUCGCUGGCCUACCACAACACAGCAACAUUUGGGGGAAAUGUCUGUUUAUUCCAAAAGAAUUUACAUGAACUUCUAGGAAAUAAGUAAAUGAGCACCUGCACCUCUGAUUUUUACCAAAGCCAAUUCUGAAAUAAAGCUUAUUUGGGUGUUAAAUCUAACCCAGCCAAAUAAUUUAAAUCUGAUCCAUUUUCACAGCUCCAAAAAAAAUAUUCACUGAACCUGUAACAACCUCAAGUGAAUAUUUUUGGCAAAGAUUAUUAACAGGAGUCAGAGGUCGUGACAUAAGCCUUUCUCACAGCACCAAGGGAUUAUGGAGAAGUAAUAAAUAUUCCUGUAACUACCAUAUAUUCCACAAAGUUAAAAAUUUCCUUUAAAGGAUUUGCCACCUCUUUGCUAACGAACAAAGAUAGAAAAAGAACACAAUAUAUUUGUUUGGUUUAAAUAUUGCUUGCAAUAUGUAACAAACAGUAUGCUCGUGUAUAAUCGUGUCAUUAAAGAUAUACACCACACACACAAACACGUCUAGCACACCAGGCCCGCAGGCUGCCACUUCCACCAACAGUUACUUUACAGGAUGGACUCUAGAUUAGAUUUCUUCAGUCAGACAGUUGGAAAACACAAUACAGCCAGAUCCAUAUUUCAGCUACUGUUUGUACAUUCAUUUUAAUGGUCAGGAAAAUAUAUAUUUUAUUUUAUUAAGUUCUGCUGCAAAACAAAAGAAACAAAAAAUGAAAUCCCUUUUUCUCACGUCUUAGUUAUUACUAUUUAUUUUCUUUACACUUUGUUUGGAGUAUUUAACACCUGCCUUUGGCAUUAUGGAUAGAAAGCUCAGGAGUCUCUGAACACACGGUUGUGCCAAAAAAAAAAAAAUAUGGAAGAAGAGUGUCACUUAGAG